Molecule: long non-coding RNA, 687 nt
Organism: Solea senegalensis (Senegalese sole)
Lineage: Eukaryota; Metazoa; Chordata; Actinopteri; Pleuronectiformes; Soleidae
Exons: 4
Source: RefSeq, a predicted model, not a curated record
UUCCUGCUCCUGCCUACCAACACUCACAUGCUGCUCACCAUGUCGACAGCCACUCAUCACCACCAGCCAAAAGUACAUGGGUCUCCUCACCAAUCCUCACCAGAAAUGGGUGGCUGCUAAAAGCAACUGUGACAACAACAAUGGAGAGGAACGGACUGUGCUUUUUUUAUCCAACAGCGAGGCAGCCUGUCUCCUACAACUGACCACAUCCAAGGGUGACAAGAGUCAACCCAGGUCCUUCAACUGGACUCCAAUAAUCUUAGAGCGGUUUCAGUACCUUGACGGUACUGAAACCAACGGAUGAAAGAAAAGAGCUGUAUAUGUUGACUCACAGAGAAGCCAUAACAAGAGGCAGUGGAAGGCAUGUUUUUCAUGUGGAGGCCCCACAGGAGAAGUAGGAGGAGGAGGAGGAGGGGGAGGUGUCACCAAAGGACUACAACCAGGCCCUUGUCCCUUUUAAAUGCUUGCUCCUCAUUUACUGCUGUUUUCCUCACAGGACACCAUCUCACAGACUAGAAAAUACACAUUUGCGUGUGUAAUUACAGUGAAACAACUCAGGUGUCUUUUGAAAUGUUGUCUUCUCCGCUUAGUCAGAAUAUUUUGUUUAUUUUACCUUCACAAUGAUCAGUAUAAAUUCACUUCAGCAGAAUAGCCUUUAUUGACAUAUUCAACAGGUUAGAGUUGCAC